This 265-nucleotide ribosomal RNA is filed under the name uncultured prokaryote. RNAcentral's name for it is "partial 16S ribosomal RNA". It matches the Rfam family "Bacterial small subunit ribosomal RNA", at positions 524 to 788 of the family's 1533-position model. The record is from RNAcentral.
UACGUAGGUGGCGAGCGUUGUCCGGAAUUACUGGGCGUAAAGGGCGAGUAGGCGGUAACACAAGUCAGAUGUGAAAGGCGAGGGCUCAACUCUCGGAUUGCAUUUGAAACUGUGUAACUUGAGUGCGGUAGAGGAAGACAGAAUUCCUGGUGUAGCGGUGGAAUGCGCAGAGAUCAGGAGGAAUACCGAAGGCGAAGGCAGUCUUCCAAGCCGUUAUUGACGCUCAACUGCGAAGGUGUGGGUAUCAAACAGGAUUAGAUACCCG